Molecule: ribosomal RNA, 773 nt
Filed under: uncultured Neocallimastigales
Lineage: Eukaryota; Fungi; Neocallimastigomycota; Neocallimastigomycetes; Neocallimastigales
Description: partial large subunit ribosomal RNA
Rfam family: Eukaryotic large subunit ribosomal RNA
Source: RNAcentral
CGUCUAUAUACGUAUAGCAUAUCAAUAAGCGGAGGAAAAGAAACUAACUAGGAUUCCCUUAGUAACGGCGAGUGAAGCGGGAAGAGCUCAAAUUUGAAAUCUUCAAGGUUCUACCUUGACGAAUUGUAGUUUAAAGAAGUGUUUUCUGUUGGAGUUUUGGUAAAAGUUCUUUGGAAUAGGACAUCAUAGAGGGUGAGAAUCCCGUAUUUGACCAUUAUCUCCAGCUUUGUGAUACACUUUCAAAGAGUCGGAUUGUUUGGGAAUGCAGUCCAAAAUGGGUGGUAAAUUUCAUCUAAAGCUAAAUACUGGCGAGAGACCGAUAGCGAACAAGUACCGUGAGGGAAAGAUGAAAAGAACUUUGAAAAGAGAGUUAAACAGUACGUGAAAUUGUCAAAAGGGAAGCGUUUGACACCAGUGUUGUUUUUCCGAAAAUCAAUUACGAAUGGCUUGAUUUUGUGUUGUAUUGACCUUAUCAGCUUUCUGCACUUUUUUCGAGUCUUUCUUAAUGCACUUUUUGGUUAACAAGUCAACAUCAAUUUCUUUUGUUGUAAAAGAGUAUUCGGAAGGUGGCUUUCUUUUCGGAGAAAGUGUUUAUAGCCCUAUACUUCUACAAUCGGAGAGAUUGAGGUCUGCAGCGUAGAUCCUUCGGGGUUAGAUACACUUGUGCUAAGUUGUAGCUUUUCAUGGACAACUUGUUGACUAUGUUUAGUCAUGCGGCUUACUCGCUUGUGCUAUUUUACCUACGCUUAGGAUGUUGACUGAUAUGUAGUCGU